This 433-nucleotide ribosomal RNA is filed under the name Escherichia coli. RNAcentral describes it as "partial 23S ribosomal RNA". It matches the Rfam family "Bacterial large subunit ribosomal RNA", at positions 1233 to 1667 of the family's 2925-position model. RNAcentral also lists the same sequence under 1 other name. The record is from RNAcentral. Lineage: Bacteria; Pseudomonadati; Pseudomonadota; Gammaproteobacteria; Enterobacterales; Enterobacteriaceae.
GGAGCGUUCUGUAAGCCUGCGAAGGUGUGCUGUGAGGCAUGCUGGAGGUAUCAGAAGUGCGAAUGCUGACAUAAGUAACGAUAAAGCGGGUGAAAAGCCCGCUCGCCGGAAGACCAAGGGUUCCUGUCCAACGUUAAUCGGGGCAGGGUGAGUCGACCCCUAAGGCGAGGCCGAAAGGCGUAGUCGAUGGGAAACAGGUUAAUAUUCCUGUACUUGGUGUUACUGCGAAGGGGGGACGGAGAAGGCUAUGUUGGCCGGGCGACGGUUGUCCCGGUUUAAGCGUGUAGGCUGGUUUUCCAGGCAAAUCCGGAAAAUCAAGGCUGAGGCGUGAUGACGAGGCACUACGGUGCUGAAGCAACAAAUGCCCUGCUUCCAGGAAAAGCCUCUAAGCAUCAGGUAACAUCAAAUCGUACCCCAAACCGACACAGGUGGU